This 450-nucleotide ribosomal RNA is filed under the name uncultured bacterium. RNAcentral describes it as "bacterial SSU rRNA". It matches the Rfam family "Bacterial small subunit ribosomal RNA", at positions 355 to 825 of the family's 1533-position model. The record is from RNAcentral.
UCGAGAAUCUUCCGCAAUGGACGCAAGUCUGACGGAGCGACGCCGCGUGAUUGAUGAAGUCUUUCGGGAUGUAAAGAUCUUUUUAUGUAGGAGAAAGUUUUGAUAGUACUACAUGAAUAAGGGGUUGCUAAACUCGUGCCAGCAGCAGCGGUAAUACGAGUACCCCAAGCGUUAUCCGGAAUUAUUGGGCGUAAAGGGUGUGUAGGCGGUAAUGUUAGUCUCUUGUCAAAGCCUCCGGCUCAACCGGAGAAUUGCGGGGGAAACGGCAUAACUAGAGAGUGUGAGAGGUUUGCGGAACUCAUGGUGUAGGGGUGAAAUGCGUAGAUAUCUGGAGGAACACCGGUGGCGAAGGCGGCAUCCUGGACCGGUAUUGACGCUGAGGCGCGAAAGCCAGGGGAGCAAACGGGAUUAGAUACCCCAGUAGUCCCUGAGCGGGCUGGCAAGGCGCAU